RNAcentral lists this long non-coding RNA (434 nucleotides) under Carica papaya (papaya). Its description in RNAcentral is "long non-coding RNA (CPAP_LNC016076)". The record is from RNAcentral. Lineage: Eukaryota; Viridiplantae; Streptophyta; Magnoliopsida; Brassicales; Caricaceae.
AGGCACGCAGACUUCCGUUGGUUGCACGUAGUGAGUCUAAGGAACCUGGUUCUAGUAAGUGAGUUUAAAACCCUAAUGGUUUACCAUUUUAGAUUUAGAGUUUAUUAAUCCUAUUUAAUUUAAUACAAUAAAUUAUUUAUCUGAUUUAAAAUUAAAAAUAAGUCUAGAUAUGGGUGUUUAAAAUUAAAGAAUAAUCAAUUCAUUACUAACCCGAUACGGAUAUCACUGUAACAUUUUAAUUUUGUACAUCAGAAAUAAUUUCACGAACAAGAUUUAGACAGAAAUCAGAUAAGUGCAUAAGCGCUUACAAAUGUAGUUUAAUCUUUCUAAGAUAUUAAAACUAUGGCGUUUAAUAAUUGAUAAUUAAGCACAAGAUUCAGAUGAGAUUUUACUGUUGAUUAUUGUGUUUCUAUUUAUGUUUACUACUGAAAUUG